Molecule: ribosomal RNA, 460 nt
Filed under: uncultured bacterium
Lineage: Bacteria
Description: partial 16S ribosomal RNA
Rfam family: Bacterial small subunit ribosomal RNA
Source: RNAcentral
CCUACGGGGUGCAGCAGUGAGGAAUAUUGGUCAAUGGGCGAGAGCCUGAACCAGCCAAGUCGCGUGAAGGAUGACGGCCCUACGGGUUGUAAACUUCUUUUGGCAGGGAGCAAUUGGGUCCACGCGUGGGCUUAGCGAGAGUACCUGAAGAAAACGCAUCGGCUAACUCCGUGCCAGCCGCCGCGGUAAUACGGGGGAUGCGAGCGUUAUCCGGAUUUAUUGGGUUUAAAGGGUGCGUAGGCGGAAUAUAAAGUCAGCGGUAAAAAUUCGGGGCUAAACCCCGUCGUGCCGUUGAAACUGAUGUUCUGGAGUGGGCGAGAAGUAGGCGGAAUGCGUGGUGUAGCGGUGAAAUGCAUAGAUAUCACGCAGAACUCCGAUUGCGAAGGCAGCAGACCGGCGCCCAACUGACGCUGAAGCACGAAAGCGUGGGUAUCGAACAGGAUUAGAUACCCCUGUAGUC